RNAcentral lists this long non-coding RNA (1191 nucleotides) under Fragaria vesca (wild strawberry). RNAcentral describes it as "long non-coding RNA (FVES_LNC001223)". The record is from RNAcentral. Lineage: Eukaryota; Viridiplantae; Streptophyta; Magnoliopsida; Rosales; Rosaceae.
CUAAGACGACUAGGGUUUUGGAAAUCCUAAUCAAACCCUAGGGCGUAAAAGCCAUUAUUAAGCACAAAUUCUGAAAAGUUUCUAUUUACCUUCAGAAAUUGAUCGUCUCGGAAGCGGAAUUUGGCUGCCUUUUAAUUUGUUUGGAAACGAUGGGCAGGGGAAAGUACAAGAACAAACCCACUGGUCACCGCCAGUUCUCCACUCGUGAAGAUCUUCGUAAGCCCUCGUUUCUAAUCCUUCCCUUUACAAUUGUUUGUUUCAUUCCAACGGAACCAGCUUGAUUCAUGUUUAUUAUCUUCUCAUGAACUCAGAACACGAACAAUGCUUUUAGUUCUAGUAAUGGUGUAUUACUAUUUGGAUUUGAGUUGGAACCAAGCGAAUUUUUAUUGAUAAUGAAAGACCUGAAUUUAAUAAGCCAUUGCAUGCUCUGUGUUAAGAUUUUAGCUAUAUUUGAUGUCAAUUGCAAGUUGAAGCACUCAACCACCUCACAGAUCAUAUAUAUUUUCAUGUAUUUGCUGAAUAAUCCAGAAAACAAUUAUAGUUUUAUUUUAAAUUUCUCAACAUGAUUCCAUGUAAUUGAAACUUAUGGUCGAUAUUCCGGAAUUUCGUUGUUUGUUUUCAUCGCUUUGGGGAUAUUGACUCGCUGUAGAUGAGAUUUUAAUGAAUCGUACAAAUGAGUGUUGCUGCAUAAGAUGAACUCCCUGUGAGUUUUGUUUGAUUUCGGGAUGUUCAAGUUUUAAAACAAUAGAUGGAUCGCCAGUAUUAAACAGCAUUGCUAUACUUUUAACUUCUCAAAUGUGGCAUGAGCAACAAAGGUAAAGUUGUAAAAGGAAAAUAUUUCAGUAUUUCUAAUUUUGUUCUUGAGAUGGAUGGGAGUGAUGAAACUGACUUUGUGGCCUUACUACAUGUGUAGUUCUGUUUCUUUGCCAAAACAAAAUAAUGACUUCCUUUAUGUCUUUUGUAUGUGUAAAAGAGCUAAAAUAGAUAGGAAUUGAAACUGGAUGCCCAUAAUUUUUAUAUUAGAAUUUUCAGUUCAUUAUCAUGAAUCAUGAUAUAUCUCUUAUUUCCUGAGUAAGAUGAUUCCCGCUGCUCCUGUCAAAUUAAGCAUUCUGACUCUCCUUUUUGGUUGCAUUUGUUGUUUAUAAAUUUGCAGUUGCUGGUACCUCCAGCCGUCCCCGUUCUUUUUCUAAG